Molecule: long non-coding RNA, 922 nt
Organism: Drosophila obscura
Lineage: Eukaryota; Metazoa; Arthropoda; Insecta; Diptera; Drosophilidae
Exons: 3
Source: RefSeq, a predicted model, not a curated record
UCAGCGCGUGCUGACAGCAGGCAGCAGAUUUUCUGUCCAUUGAUCCGCUGCCCCAGACCCCAGCUGGCAGGGCCCCAAUUAACAGCGGGGUGGAAUCCAUAUCUUCCGCUUAAGGGGGGGCCGAUGAAUCCAAACGACAUUGAGCCACGCUUGUGUAUAUGAAGAGUGACCAAUUGGGUGUAGGAGCUAUGAUCCAAAACUCUCUGGAAUGUAUAAAUAAUGACACUUUUGCGCCAUACUAUAUGUAGAUGAAUUUUUAAUGUAUUCGAGCGACAUUCCUUCUUAAACAGUGAUUCAACAUUUGAGUUUUCCUGGGUAAUUUUACACUCCAUUCCACAUCAACAUGCAAACACAAUUUAUUGAGUGAUUACAAAACCGAUUGGCUCUCCCCAAUGCGACAAAGUAGAACUGCCUGCGAAAAAACAUUGUAGAAAACAAUGGCAUCGGGGGUGCAAAGCAAUUUCAUUCAUAAACUAUAAUGGAUAACUGAUUGGGCCAUAAAAAUGAUGAUAUGCUAUUAAAGAGUAGUUAUCGCUUUUAUUAAUAUUCCCAUUUGACUUAAAAUACAUUAUGUAAAUAUAUAUAUGUUUAUAUAUAUAGAUGUGUAUAUAUCAUUUAGCAUACAAUUAGAUUUACGUCUUUAGAGUUUCUCUGCCUGCUUUCAUUUCCCUCCUAGAUACAAUACUCUUCCCUUCCUUCCUUCCUUCCUUCCAUCCCUACACAAAUUUCCUUAUAAAACCUGAUAGCCAAUGCAUUACGAUCUUUGCAAAUAAAUUUCAUCUAAUAAAAUUAACUAGAAUUCGUGUAUUCGUUCUUUCGCUCAAGAAAAUUAUAGUAAAGGCCAUUUCUUGUUCAACUCCAAGACAUAGUUUCUUUUUUUUUGGGGGUGUUGGUUGGUUUUUCGAGAAAAGGUUUUGAUUGG